Molecule: ribosomal RNA, 253 nt
Filed under: uncultured bacterium
Lineage: Bacteria
Description: partial 16S ribosomal RNA
Rfam family: Bacterial small subunit ribosomal RNA
Source: RNAcentral
UACAGAGGUCUCAAGCGUUGUUCGGAUUCAUUGGGCGUAAAGGGUGUGUAGGUGGCGCGCUAAGUCGGGUGUGAAAUCCCUCGGCUUAACCGGGGAACUGCGUCUGAUACUGGAUGGCUUGAGGUUGGGAGAGGGAUGCGGAAUUCCAGGUGUAGCGGUGAAAUGCGUAGAUAUCUGGAGGAACACCGGUGGCGAAGGCGGCAUCCUGGACCAAUUCUGACACUGAGGAGCGAAAGCCAGGGGAGCAAACGGG